UACAGAGGGGGCAAGCGUUAUUCGGAAUUAUUGGGCGUAAAGGGCGCGUAGGCGGCCUGGCAAGUGGAUGGUGAAAUCCCUCGGCUUAACCGAGGAACUGCCAUCCAGACUGCUUGGCUUGAGACCGGGAGAGGUGAGUGGAAUUCCCAGUGUAGCGGUGAAAUGCGUAGAUAUUGGGAAGAACACCGGUGGCGAAGGCGGCUCUCUGGACCGAUACUGACGCUGAGGCGCGAAAGCGUGGGGAGCAAACAGG
RNAcentral lists this ribosomal RNA (253 nucleotides) under uncultured bacterium. Its description in RNAcentral is "partial 16S ribosomal RNA". It matches the Rfam family "Bacterial small subunit ribosomal RNA", at positions 524 to 776 of the family's 1533-position model. The record is from RNAcentral.